CUGCGCCCCUCCUGCCCAUGUGCUCCACAUCGACCAUCGGAAGCAAGGGGGGUUUCUGUUUUAACUUCUUUCCUCCCCCCAUAACAAAGGCAGCACUCUGGAGGCUCUUUCUCUGAUUGGACGUCUAGGAAACUGGGAUUCCUCCAAGUUAAUAUCCUUUUGCCGGGCUGAAUGCCGGAAAGACGAGGAGGGAGCAAGAUGAAAACAAAACAUCCCCAAACUGGGUCCAUUAGAGGACGUGCCUCUCCGGAGUGAGAGAGAAUGAACAGAAGUGGUUUAAACAAACAAACAAGCCCCAAACCUCGAGCCUGGAAGGCCUCCAGAGUCAUCCAAGUCCAGUGGCAAGACAAAAGCCAAUAUGACUGGCAAGGGCUGAAGAUGCCGAAGAUGGAGAUAACCUUGGCUCCUUUGGUUUCUAAGCUCUAAGAGCUCCAUAGUCCCUACUUCGACGUCUUCAUGGCUGUUGUAACAAAUUAUUCUCACCAGCCUGUUCCACUGGGAGAAGUCUUCAUAUGCCUGGGAUAAUCAUUUCCCCAACUCACCUAUGGGUUUGUGGCCCAUUGAUUUCCUUCAAUCUGGUUUAGCCCAUCUGCUGAGCCAGGUUUAUUAGAGUGUGGUCACCCUGCAUGCUACAGCUUCUUGGAGUCACAGGUAAGAGAUGGGUGAAAGGUAGACACCAAAGUUGGAUGAGCAGUCUUGAAAAGGGCUCAACAAGCCCUCUAGAUGCUAGUCUUCCUCAAAUACCUAUACACCCCACAUAGAUAAGAUUCAUGCAAAGUAGAUAUAAAGCAACCUUAGAAGGGUAAAUACUAGCAGUUAGAAGGUCUGGUACAGAAGGUGGCUUGAGGUGAGUCUUGAAGGAAGUCAGGUAUUUUAAGAGGCAGAAAUGAAAAGGGAAACCAUUCCAAGCAUGGUUAAUUUUCAGGAGCCCAGAGAUGGUAGAUGAGGCAUUAAGUAUGGGAUAUGGCAAAUUGAGCAAUAUGGUCAGACUAUCAGCUACAGGGAAGUGAUGUGUAAGAAGGGAAAUGUAGGCAGGACCAGGUUGUAAGGAGGUUUAAAUGCCAAAGAAAGGCA
Molecule: long non-coding RNA, 1074 nt
Filed under: Monodelphis domestica (gray short-tailed opossum)
Lineage: Eukaryota; Metazoa; Chordata; Mammalia; Didelphimorphia; Didelphidae
Description: lncRNA (ENSMODG00000044449.1)
Source: RNAcentral